This 481-nucleotide ribosomal RNA is filed under the name uncultured bacterium. RNAcentral describes it as "bacterial SSU rRNA". It matches the Rfam family "Bacterial small subunit ribosomal RNA", at positions 28 to 507 of the family's 1533-position model. The record is from RNAcentral.
GACAAACGCUGGCGGCGUGCUUAACACAUGCAAGUCGAACGGAGUGCCUUAGAUUGAGACUUCGGUCAAUAUCUUUGGUUACUUAGUGGCGGACGGGUGAGUAACGCGUGAGCAACCUGCCUAUCAGUGGGGAAUAACGUUUGGAAACGGACGCUAAUACCGCAUGAAGCAUGAGAUUCGCAUGGAUUUCAUGUCAAAGAUUUAUUGCUGAUAGAUGGGCUCGCGUCUGAUUAGCUAGUUGGUGAGGUAACGGCCCACCAAGCCGACGAUCAGUAGCCGACCUGAGAGGGUGAUCGGCCACAUUGGGACUGAGACACGGCCCAAACUCCUACGGGAGGCAGCAGUGGGGAAUAUUGGGCAAUGGGGGAAACCCUGACCCAGCAACGCCGCGUGGAGGAAGAAGGUUUUCGGAUCGUAAACUCCUGUCCUCAGGGAAGAGCAGAAGACGGUACCUGAGGAGGAAGCCCCGGCUAACUACGUG